RNAcentral lists this ribosomal RNA (254 nucleotides) under uncultured prokaryote. RNAcentral describes it as "partial 16S ribosomal RNA". It matches the Rfam family "Bacterial small subunit ribosomal RNA", at positions 525 to 777 of the family's 1533-position model. The record is from RNAcentral.
ACGUAGGACGCAAGCGUUAUCCGGAGUUACUGGGCGUAAAGGGCAGGCAGGCGGGUCGAUAAGUCGGAUGUGAAAUCUCCCUGGCUUAACCGGGAGAGUGCAUUUGAGACUGUCAACCUGGAGGGCAGCAGAGGAGCGUGGAAUUCCGGGUGGAGUGGUGAAAUUCGUAGAUAUUCGGAAGAACACCAGUGGCGAAGGCGACUUACUGGACAACUGUUGACGCUGAGGUGCGAAAGCGUGGGGAGCAAACAGGA